UACCAGCUCUCCGAGUGGUGUGGAUGUUUAUUGGGCCUAAAGCAUCCGUAGCUGGCUGGGCAAGUCCCCUGUUAAAUCCACCGAUUUAAUCGUUGGAGUGCGGGGGAUACUGCUCGGCUAGGGGACGGGAGAGGCAGACGGUAUUUUCGGGGUAGGGGUGAAAUCCUAUAAUCCCGAGAAGACCACCAGUGGCGAAGGCUGUCUGCUAGAACGUGCCCGACGGUGAGGGAUGAAAGCUGGGGGAGCGAACCGGAUUAGAUACCCGGGUAGUCCCAGCUGUAAACGAUGCAGGCUAGGUGUUUGGACGGCCACGUGCCGUUCUAGUGCCGCAGGGAAGCCGUUAAGCCUGCCGCCUGGGGAGUACGGCCGCAAGGCUGAAACUUAAGGAUUGGCGGGGAGCACCACAAGGGUGAAGCUUGCGGUUU
Molecule: ribosomal RNA, 425 nt
Filed under: uncultured archaeon
Lineage: Archaea
Description: bacterial SSU rRNA
Rfam family: Archaeal small subunit ribosomal RNA
Source: RNAcentral